Tympanuchus pallidicinctus (lesser prairie-chicken) is the source of this 361-nucleotide long non-coding RNA. RefSeq lists it as uncharacterized. NCBI's taxonomy places the organism in Eukaryota, Metazoa, Chordata, Aves, Galliformes, Phasianidae. The transcript has 3 exons. The record is from RefSeq and is a predicted model, not a curated record.
UGCUGGGUUGGUGGCUGGUUACACUGCAGGUCAUUUCCAGCCUUCACAGCUCUGAUUCCAGGAUUCUUAUUGCGAUGGUGGUGCUGGGUUGGCGGUUGGAGGUCAUUUCCAACCUUUACAGCUGUGAUUCCAUGACUCUUAGUGGGCAUGGUGGUGCUGGGUUGGUGGUUGGGUUACACUGGAGGUCAUUUCCAACCUUUACAGCUGUGAUUCCAUGACUCUUAGUGGACACAGGGGUUCUGGGUUGGUCAUUUCCAACCUUCACAGCUCUGAUUCCACGACUCUCAGUGGGGCACGGUGAUGCUGGGUUGGCGGUUGGAGGUCAUUUCCAACCUUCCCAGUGCUGUGGGUCUGUGAUUCU